AUGAACGCUGGCGGCGUGCCUAACACAUGCAAGUCGAACGAAGCACCUCGCCCGAUGAAGAGGAGAGCUUGCUCAAAUCGGAAUCAAUUGAGGUGACUUAGUGGCGGACGGGUGAGUAACGCGUGGGUAACCUGCCGUAUACAGGGGGAUAACAGUUAGAAAUGACUGCUAAUACCGCAUAAGCGCACGGUAUCGCAUGAUACAGUGUGAAAAGCCGAGACGGUAUACGAUGGACCCGCGUCUGAUUAGCCAGUUGGCAGGGUAGCGGCCUACCAAAGCAACGAUCAGUAGCCGGCCUGAGAGGGUGAACGGCCACAUUGGGACUGAGACACGGCCCAAACUCCUACGGGAGGCAGCAGUGGGGGAUAUUGCACAAUGGGGGAAACCCUGAUGCCAGCGACGCCGCGUGAGCGAAGAAGUAUUUCGGUAUGUAAAGCUCUAUCAGCAGGGAAGAAAAUGACGGUACCUGACUAAGAAGCCCCGGCUAACUACGUGCCAGCCGCCGC
Molecule: ribosomal RNA, 506 nt
Filed under: uncultured bacterium
Lineage: Bacteria
Description: bacterial SSU rRNA
Rfam family: Bacterial small subunit ribosomal RNA
Source: RNAcentral